This 414-nucleotide ribosomal RNA is filed under the name uncultured microorganism. RNAcentral describes it as "bacterial SSU rRNA". It matches the Rfam family "Archaeal small subunit ribosomal RNA", at positions 459 to 872 of the family's 1478-position model. The record is from RNAcentral.
CAGCCGCCGCGGUAAUACCGGCGGCCCGAGUGGCGGUCACUAUUAUUGGGCUUAAAGCGUCCGUAGCCGGGUUGGGAAGUCCUCCGGGAAAUCUGGCCGCUUAAAGGUCAGAAUGCCGGAGGAUACUCCCAGCCUAGGGAGCGGGAGAGGCCGAGGGUAUUCCCGGAGUAGGGGUGAAAUCCUAUAAUCCCAGGAGGACCACCAGUGGCGAAGGCGCCCGGCUGGCACGCGCCCGACGGUGAGGGACGAAAGCUGGGGGAGCAAAGGGGAUUAGAUACCCCCGUAGUCCCAGCUGUAAACGAUGCGGGCUAGAUGUUGGGCGGGCCUCGAGCCCGCCCAGUGUCGUAGGGAAGCCGUUAAGCCCGCCGCCUGGGGAGUACGGCCGCAAGGCUGAAACUUAAAGGAAUUGGCGGG